Long non-coding RNA from Sapajus apella (tufted capuchin), 411 nucleotides. RefSeq lists it as uncharacterized. NCBI's taxonomy places the organism in Eukaryota, Metazoa, Chordata, Mammalia, Primates, Cebidae. The record is from RefSeq and is a predicted model, not a curated record. The transcript has 2 exons.
AUAGUAAUUUCAAAUACUACCAUGGCUUUCUAUACUAACUAGUCAGCUGCCCUUGGCUUCAUUUAUUCUCUUGGAGGAAGGAUGGUAAAGAGUGUCUGGUAUGUUCUGUGACAGAAUGAGAGUUGGCAAUUGGGACAAGUGCUAAGAAAAGCAAUAUGGCCGCUCCUCCCUUCAUAGAAGUCUUUUGGAUCCAGCCUCCCAAAGUCCCCAAGAUAUACACAGACUGUCAUGCUGGACAACAGGAGUAGUUUCUCAGACUGGUAACACUGCCCAGGUUCCAGACUUCCAGUGAGCAGCCUUGGGAGACGAACUACCAGCUCUCUGGUCUAUGGUUGCAAACAAAACAAUCUAGUGUUACUAUAUGUGCAUAUUUAACUAGUUUCGAAAAUUAAGGCACUACUAAGAUACAAA